UGUUACAUGAUGAUAAUUUAUUUCUCAGCUCACUCAGAAUCUAUAUGAUCGAUAAAUAUUUUCCUAUCCAACAUUCAUCAAGAUAUUAUCUGACUUUUCC
Molecule: small nucleolar RNA, 100 nt
Organism: Saccharomycodes ludwigii
Lineage: Eukaryota; Fungi; Ascomycota; Saccharomycetes; Saccharomycodales; Saccharomycodaceae
Source: RefSeq, a predicted model, not a curated record